AGAGUUUGAUCAUGGCUCAGGAUGAACGCUAGCUACAGGCUUAACACAUGCAAGUCGAGGGGCAGCAUGACCUAGCAAUAGGUUGAUGGCGACUGGCGCACGGGUGAGUAACACGUAUCCAACCUGCCGAUUAUUCCGGGAUAGCCUUUCGAAAGAAAGAUUAAUACUGGAUAGCAUAACGAGAAGGCAUCUUCUUGUUAUUAAAGAAUUUCGAUAAUCGAUGGGGAUGCGUUCCAUUAGUUUGUUGGCGGGGUAACGGCCCACCAAGACAUCGAUGGAUAGGGGUUCUGAGAGGAAGGUCCCCCACAUUGGAACUGAGACACGGUCCAAACUCCUACGGGAGGCAGCA
RNAcentral lists this ribosomal RNA (349 nucleotides) under uncultured bacterium. RNAcentral's name for it is "bacterial SSU rRNA". It matches the Rfam family "Bacterial small subunit ribosomal RNA", at positions 8 to 353 of the family's 1533-position model. The record is from RNAcentral.